RNAcentral lists this unclassified non-coding RNA (1078 nucleotides) under Hevea brasiliensis (rubber tree). Lineage: Eukaryota; Viridiplantae; Streptophyta; Magnoliopsida; Malpighiales; Euphorbiaceae. The record is from RNAcentral.
GAGAGAGAGAGAGAGAGAAAGAAACUGAAAAAAAGAAAGAGAUAUACACCAUAUAUUCUUGAUAUGGUAAGGCAACUAAGGGCCAAAUAACUAUUGUAUCAUAUAAACCACGGUUGAUGAAGCAUUAAAACAGGGUAUUACCCCCUGUUACUUACUGCUUCAACUGAUUUUGUUUAUUCAGAACACUCAAAAAGCAUAAGUCCUGCUCUUUGGAGAAUCCGCAAUUUUCAAGGUUUCUUCAAUGAGCUUCCUAGCCUUCCUGCUUCUUAUCUCAAUUCUCAUACUUUCACUUUUGUCCAUCUUAUCAUAUGGUUUCUUCAUCUUCAGAGACCUUAUCUUUGAUUUUAAGGUCACCACCAACCUCUCCAAUCCCAUCAUCACCAUGUUCAAAGCCUGUAAAAAGAAUAUAAACGAGUAGAAAUUAGUAACUGGUAGGCAAAGCUAAAUCUUAGAAAGAAAAGAGCUUUUGUGAGUUGGGGGGCUGUGAGAGAAGAGAAGCAAGAGACAGAAACCUUAUGGCAGAUUGAGAGUGAGAAAUGAAAGUGUUAGAAAAGAAGAGAAGUUGAAGUUGAGAUGCAAGUUAGGACUUUUAUGGAGCUUCUUAUUACAGAGUUGGAGUUGGAGGAAGAGCAGCCAAGAAAGAGAAGAGUUGGGGAGAGAGGAGAAGAAAAUAAGAGAGAUGAUAUGAAUGAAUUGAACGGCUGCAAGUCACAUUGAAAGCAUUAAAAUCUUGGAAGUUGGAUAGCAGACCACGCAACGGUUAGGAGCUAAGCCUCUCUGACCUUCUGUGGAGAAUACUAGUUUAAUUCUAUUCUCUACAUAUGGUACAAUCAUGAUUUUUUUUAUUCCAUAAAUGCCCUCUAGAAAUAAUUAUUUUAUGUGGAUUUUUAUUUAUUUUAUUUGAAGCCUCUAGGUAAACGUAGCCAUCCCAGUUUCCGUAGAGAGGUAUUGUUUUAUGAAAUGCGAAAUUGCUUUGCUCUCUAAUUAUUGUGGAUAUUAUUGUAAUUGCUGGUUUUUUCUAUUUUUAUUCAUGAAGGAAAAUUCAAGUAUUUAACGCUUUGUGGGUAUAGGUAUAUGU